RNAcentral lists this ribosomal RNA (262 nucleotides) under uncultured cyanobacterium. Its description in RNAcentral is "partial 16S ribosomal RNA". It matches the Rfam family "Bacterial small subunit ribosomal RNA", at positions 28 to 313 of the family's 1533-position model. The record is from RNAcentral. Lineage: Bacteria; Bacillati; Cyanobacteriota.
GAUGAACGCUGGCGGUCUGCUUAACACAUGCAAGUCGAACGAACUCUUCGGAGUGAGUGGCGGACGGGUGAGUAACGCGUGAGAAUCUGGCUGUGGGUCGGGGACAACCACUGGAAACGGUGGCUAAUACCGGAUGACGACCGGAAAAGGUAAAAGUAUUUUAUUGCCCACAGAUGAGCUCGCGUCUGAUUAGCUAGUUGGUAAGGUAAAAGCGUACCAAGGCGACGAUCAGUAGCUGGUCUGAGAGGAUGAGCAGCCACAC